AAAUAUAUUGUUAGCCUAUAACGGAGGCAAAUUGACUUCAAAUUUAAUUGAUUCCAACUCAUACAUAAAAAUAUAGUUUCAAUUAAAGAUUUAAGAACAAAAACAAUCAAAUAGAGAGGUUUUUGUAAGUCAAUUAAACUAAAUAAUUGAACUAAUUCAUUUUAUGAAAUGAUCCAAUAAAAAGGAUAAGAGAAUAUAAUAAAAAG
RNAcentral lists this long non-coding RNA (206 nucleotides) under Musa acuminata (dwarf banana). RNAcentral's name for it is "long non-coding RNA (MACU_LNC001853)". The record is from RNAcentral. Lineage: Eukaryota; Viridiplantae; Streptophyta; Magnoliopsida; Zingiberales; Musaceae.